This 446-nucleotide ribosomal RNA is filed under the name uncultured bacterium. RNAcentral describes it as "SSU rRNA". It matches the Rfam family "Bacterial small subunit ribosomal RNA", at positions 26 to 518 of the family's 1533-position model. The record is from RNAcentral.
AGAGCGAACGCUGGCGGCAGGCCUAACACAUGCAAGUCGAGCGCCCCGCAAGGGGAGCGGCAGACGGGAGAGUAACACGUGGGAACGUACCCUUCAGUUCGGAACAACCCAGGGAAACUUGGGCUAAUACCGAAUACGUCCGUAAGGAGAAAGAUUUAUCGCUGAAGGAUCGGCCCGCGUCUGAUUAGCUUGUUGGUGAGGUAACGGCUCACCAAGGCUACGAUCAGUAGCUGGUCUGAGAGGAUGAUCAGCCUCACUGGGACUGAGACACGGCCCAGACUCCUACGGGAGGCAGCAGUGGGGAAUAUUGGACAAUGGGCGCAAGCCUGAUCCAGCCAUGCCGCGUGGAUGAUGAAGGCCUUAGGGUUGUAAAGUCCUUUCGACGGGGAAGAGUAAUGACGGUACCCGUAGAAGAACGCCCCGGCUAACUUCGCGCCAGCAGCCGC